Molecule: ribosomal RNA, 400 nt
Filed under: uncultured bacterium
Lineage: Bacteria
Description: bacterial SSU rRNA
Rfam family: Bacterial small subunit ribosomal RNA
Source: RNAcentral
GGGGAAUAUUGGACAAUGGGGGCAACCCUGAUCCAGCCAUGCCGCGUGAGUGAUGAAGGCCUUAGGGUUGUAAAGCUCUUUCGUCAGGGAAGAUAAUGACGGUACCUGAAGAAAAAGCCCCGGCUAACUUCGUGCCAGCAGCCGCGGUAAUACGAAGGGGGCUAGCGUUGUUCGGAAUUACUGGGCGUAAAGCGCACGUAGGCGGACAUUUAAGUCAGGGGUGAAAUCCCGGGGCUCAACCCUGGAACUGCCUUUGAUACUGGGUGUCUUGAGUACGAGAGAGGUGAGUGGAAUUCCGAGUGUAGAGGUGAAAUUCGUAGAUAUUCGGAAGAACACCAGUGGCGAAGGCGGCUCACUGGCUCGUAACUGACGCUGAGGUGCGAAAGCGUGGGGAGCAAAC